GCAGUAGCCGCGGUAAUACAGAGGAUGCAAGCGUUAUCCGGAAUGAUUGGGCGUAAAGCGUCUGUAGGUGGCUUUUCAAGUCCGCCGUCAAAUCCCAGGGCUCAACCCUGGACAGGCGGUGGAAACUACCAAGCUGGAGUACGGUAGGGGCAGAGGGAAUUUCCGGUGGAGCGGUGAAAUGCGUAGAGAUGUGGAGGAACACCAGUGGCGAAGGCGACUCUCUGGUCUGUAACUGACGCUGAGGAGCGAAAGCGUGGGGAGCGAACAGGAUUAGAUACCCCGGUAGUCCCUGUCUCUUAUAC
Molecule: ribosomal RNA, 302 nt
Filed under: uncultured bacterium
Lineage: Bacteria
Description: partial 16S ribosomal RNA
Rfam family: Bacterial small subunit ribosomal RNA
Source: RNAcentral